AGCGAACGCUGGCGGCAGGCCUAACACAUGCAAGUCGAACGGCAGCACAGGAGAGCUUGCUCUCUGGGUGGCGAGUGGCGGACGGGUGAGGAAUACAUCGGAAUCUACCUUUUCGUGGGGGAUAACGUAGGGAAACUUACGCUAAUACCGCAUACGACCUACGGGUGAAAGUGGGGGACCGCAAGGCCUCACGCGAUUAG
This 200-nucleotide ribosomal RNA is filed under the name uncultured bacterium. RNAcentral describes it as "partial 16S ribosomal RNA". It matches the Rfam family "Bacterial small subunit ribosomal RNA", at positions 29 to 224 of the family's 1533-position model. The record is from RNAcentral.